GAUGAACGCUAGCGGCAGGCCUAAUACAUGCAAGUCGAACGAGAUUAAGAGGCUUGCUUCUUAUGAAAGUGGCGCACGGGUGCGUAACGCGUAUGCAACCUACCUUAAUCAGGGGGAUAGCCCGAAGAAAUUCGGAUUAAGACCGCAUAAAAACACAGGAUAGCAUUAUCCAAUGUUCAAAUAUUUAUAGGAUUAAGAUGGGCAUGCGUGUCAUUAGCUAGUUGGCGGGGUAACGGCCCACCAAGGCGACGAUGACUAGGGGAUCUGAGAGGAUGACCCCCCACACUGGGACUGAGACACGUACCAGACUCCUACGGGAGGCAGCAGUAAGGAAUAUUGGUCAAUGGAGGGAACUCUGAACCAGCCAUGCCGCGUGCAGGAAGACAGCCCUCUGGGUCGUAAACUGCUUUUAGUCGGGAAUAAACCUUUCUACGUGUAGGAAGCUGAAGGUACCGAAUGAAUAAGGAUCGGCUAACUCCGUG
Molecule: ribosomal RNA, 482 nt
Filed under: uncultured bacterium
Lineage: Bacteria
Description: partial 16S ribosomal RNA
Rfam family: Bacterial small subunit ribosomal RNA
Source: RNAcentral